ACGAACGCUGGCGGCAUGCCUAACACAUGCAAGUCGAACGAGACCUUCGGGUCUAGUGGCGCACGGGUGCGUAACGCGUGGGAACCUGCCCUUAGGUUCGGAAUAACUCCCCGAAAGGGGUGCUAAUACCGGAUAAUGUCAUCGGACCAAAGAUUUAUCGCCUUUGGAUGGGCCCGCGUUGGAUUAGCUAGUUGGUAGGGUAAAAGCCUACCAAGGCGACGAUCCAUAGCUGGUCUGGGAGGAUGAUCAGUCACACUGGGACUGAGACACAGCCCAGACUCCUACGGGAGGCAGCAGUGGGGAAUAUUGGACGAUGGGCGAAAGCCUGAUCCAGCAAUGCCGGGUGAGUGAUGAAGGCCUUAGGGUUGUAAAGCUCUUUUACCCGGGAUGAUAAUGACAGUACCGGGAGAAUAAGCUCCGGCUAACUCCGUG
Molecule: ribosomal RNA, 432 nt
Filed under: uncultured bacterium
Lineage: Bacteria
Description: partial 16S ribosomal RNA
Rfam family: Bacterial small subunit ribosomal RNA
Source: RNAcentral